RNAcentral lists this long non-coding RNA (23927 nucleotides) under Daucus carota (carrot). RNAcentral describes it as "long non-coding RNA (DCAR_LNC004387)". The record is from RNAcentral. Lineage: Eukaryota; Viridiplantae; Streptophyta; Magnoliopsida; Apiales; Apiaceae.
CAUUUUCCAUAAAACAAAGCACUUAUAUACACAAGGAAAAGGAUUAUCUCACCGUGAGCAAGUGAUUGGCGUGUCCUUUCUCAAUUUCAUUUGUUCGCAACAAUUUCAGCAGUUCGUCGAGCACAUCUGCACUAAGACUGUUGUCAGCUCCCAACUUCUUCAGCUCCAAACGCUCGUUCACCAUACCAUCAAACAACUUGAUCAACUUUCCAAAAUAAACACUUGAUCGUCGUUUGAUACCUUGAGGAUCGAAAGCCCUAAGAAUAGGAAAAUAAUCCACAAAAUUCGGCGUACCUGCCUCCUUCAUAAUGUUCCACACCGUGUCCUUAAACUCCUUAGUGUCACUACCAUGAUACGGAUCUACCAUAUCCUUGGAAAACAUGGUAUUAGACAAAAGAUUAAGCGCAGUCUGAAAAGCAGCACAACCAAUAUCUACAGCCUCCCCUCUUUCGCUACACUUAGUAACGUAUCCAACAAGCUCCUGCACCUUAUUCGUUCGAAGAUGAUGAUUAGCAUCCAGCUUGCUAGUUGUAAAAAUAUAAGAGCUCAUAAUUUUUCUUAGAUUCCUCCACUGAUUUCCAACAGGCAACCAUGCAACCGAGAACUUGAAAUGGUCUUGGGCACGUAUAGCAUCGGGAUNCAAUACCGUUUCCGGAUUUCUUAAUACCUCAGCCAUCGUCCAUUCCACUGUACUUGAAGUCGUAUCUGUUCCUGCAGCGAACAAAUCCUGCCCAAGUAAAUAAUUGUUAGAAUACUAUAUGAUACUGAUAAGCACUCCUCCUAAUACUUUCACAUUUCGCAGAAUCAAUUACUUACCAUGGUAAGAGCUUUCUUAUAUAUACUAUAGAACAAGAGUAGUGCAACAUGCACAAAAUUGGGUACAGAAUUUUGCACAAAAUGGCGUGGCAACUGAGGUGGAUAGUUUUAAUUGGUGCUAUUAAUGCAUAUACAGGGGGCCAUUCCAAUCAAAUGUUAACACAUACUCAUUAUGUGAAUAUUUUUGUAAUCAAUUUUGUGCAACUAGCAUUUUCCAUAAAACAAAGCACUUAUAUACACAAGGAAAAGGAUUAUCUCACCGUGAGCAAGUGAUUGGCGUGUCCUUUCUCAAUUUCAUUUGUUCGCAACAAUUUCAGCAGUUCGUCGAGCACAUCUGCACUAAGACUGUUGUCAGCUCCCAACUUCUUCAGCUCCAAACGCUCGUUCACCAUACCAUCAAACAACUUGAUCAACUUUCCAAAAUAAACACUUGAUCGUCGUUUGAUACCUUGAGGAUCGAAAGCCCUAAGAAUAGGAAAAUAAUCCACAAAAUUCGGCGUACCUGCCUCCUUCAUAAUGUUCCACACCGUGUCCUUAAACUCCUUAGUGUCACUACCAUGAUACGGAUCUACCAUAUCCUUGGAAAACAUGGUAUUAGACAAAAGAUUAAGCGCAGUCUGAAAAGCAGCACAACCAAUAUCUACAGCCUCCCCUCUUUCGCUACACUUAGUAACGUAUCCAACAAGCUCCUGCACCUUAUUCGUUCGAAGAUGAUGAUUAGCAUCCAGCUUGCUAGUUGUAAAAAUAUAAGAGCUCAUAAUUUUUCUUAGAUUCCUCCACUGAUUUCCAACAGGCAACCAUGCAACCGAGAACUUGAAAUGGUCUUGGGCACGUAUAGCAUCGGGAUGGGGCCGAGUAGAGAAGGCCAGGUCUUGCUUUUGGAGGACUUCUCGAGCUGCAGUCGGUGAAGAGAUAAUUAUGGUGGUUAUACGUCCCAGUCUUAGACUCAUAAUCGGACCGUAAACCUGAGCCAGGUUGGCUAAGGAUUUAUGCGGGUGUUUGCCGAGGUUGUGUAUAUUUCCUAUGAGUGGUAAGGGGAAGGGUCCUGGUGGAAGCUUUUGAACAGCUUUCAUAUGAUUUUUUUGUAGUAAGAAGAGUGAAAAGGCCAGCAGUAUGCACAGCACACUGAUCAAAAAGAUCUCCAUAUGCGCUGGUUCUGGUUGAACCUUGACGAAGGGUUAAUAUACUGAUAAACAAUAAAGAAGAUGAGGGUUGGGAUGCUUAUGCAAUUGUGUUAGUUUCUGUUUCUAUUUAUACACAAACAGGACCGGCAGAAAAUAGAAAUCAAUGGUUCCAAUUAAAACAACCUAAAACGUCUAUGUCCAGAAUACUGCUUAAAGAUUUGACACUUCAAUUAUUUCUCAAACAAAUGUUGUUGGCGUCACGCCAUCUCCAACGGUGGAAGCAGUUUUUUAUCUAAAUUUUUGUCCAAAUUUAGACCGAAUUAUCUUUUCAUUUUAACUAUUCGGCCUAAAUUUUGGUCCAAAUUCAUAUACUCCCUCCGUCCCGGUCAAUUCUAUACGGUUUAUUUUUCGGGAUGUCCCAUCAUUUCUAUACAUUCCCAAAAUAGCAAUUUUUUAUAAUAUAAAACACUAUUACACCCACUAAUUUCUUCAGCUAUCUCCAUUCUAUAAUACUAAAAACACUAUUACACCCACCACUUUCCUCCACUAUCUCAAAUCUAUUAUUAAAAAUAAAUGGGUCUCAGCACUUUACCCACUUCUCAUCUAACUUUACUCAAAUCUUACCCUUUUUCUUCGUUUCCGUGUCGAAUCCCAAUGUAUAUUAUUCAUUGGGACGGAGGGAGUAUACAUAUUUUAUUCUUCAAACUUUCUUUUUAUUAUUAUUAUUAUUAUUAUUAUUAUUAUUAUUAUUAUUAUUAUUAUUAUUAUUAUAUUUUAAUAAUAAUAUAAAAUUUCAUAUUAAUCUUAAACUUAUAAAUUUAUUUAAUUAGAAAAACGCUACAUUCAAACAAAGAAAAUCAAAAGAAAUUUAACAUCUUACUAUAUUAACUAAAAAAAAUAAAAGAAAGUUUUAGUUUAUAUUAUGAUUUCUUCUAAGUUGCAGUUUCAAUCAAGUUUUAUCGAGCGUAAUCUCUAUUUUAUGUUUAAUUAAUGUAUUGUUAAUUUGAAUUUAAUAAAUUUAAGAGUCUUUAGUUUUAUUAUAUUUCAGAAUUAAAUAUAAUUUGUAAUUAUUUAAUAAUUAUUCUAACAUAUAAUCAAUCAACUAACUAAAUAUACAAAACAUAAAAGGUUAUUAUUAUAUUAUUAAAAAGAUUUAGGCAAGUGAAUAGGGUUGGCCUCAAUUUAGGCAGGCACCGUUCACCGGUCUAAAUUUAAACCAAGAUUUAGGUCACUAUCGGAAAAAUUUACGUCGAAACUGGUCCAAAUUUGGACCUUUAGCCCCCUGUUGGACUAACAACCAUUUUUUAAUUAAGUUUUGAUUUUUUUUAUUUCAAUCUCAUAAAUAAUGAUAACGUUAUUUCGGUAGUUGUCCCGAUAUUGAUGUGAUUCCACCAAUUAACUCAUGAUUCAACCAUUUAAAUAUAAUUUUUGUUUUUUACGACACUCAUGUGGAUACAUUUUUAUCAUCUCUAAUAAAUUAUUUUUUGUAGCUCUCUUAACUAAUUCUUGAUCCUGCCUCCUUGUACAGAAAUUAUUAACGUUGGUGUUCGUAGAGGUUUGGGUGCUUUAAACGAUUUUUAAAACUGAUGCUCCUAUUUUUCAAGAUCGUAAAUGAAAAUUUUACAUACAUUCAAACUAAUAUACAAUAAUAUAAUAAAAACAUUUAUUUAAAAUUAACACAAUCAAUUAAAGUGCAUGUAAAUAUAUAAAUACAUAGAUUUAUCAUUAUAUGCAAUAGUAGAAUUUUUUGGUACUUGGUACUUUUAUGACAGUGAUGCCCAGGACGUCCAUCUUGGUCGCCAUAACAAGGGCCAGUCCUGGAUGUUUCCGUUGAGAGACUUAUGAAAAUGAACACUUGUUCGUCAUUUAAUACCUUGAGGAUCGAUAGACCUAAGAAUAGGAAAAUAAUCCGCAAAAUUAGGCUUACCGGACUCCAUCAUAAGGAGCCUAAAUGAAGAGCCUCUUGGAGAUGCUCUCUAAUGGAGCUCUUAAACAAGCUCCUAUCCUUCAAUUUAAAGAGCAAAUCAAAAAAUAGUGCUCCAAUGGGCUCCUAGAUGCUCUUUAAAAAUUUAAGAGCCUACCAUCUCUCCACUCUUUUGAAGAGCAUCUAGUAGCUCCUAACUAAUAUUAUAUUAAUUUUUCUCCCACUACACAUUCAACCUUUCUCUCUCUUUUCACUUCUCUCUCUAAUUUAUAUGAAUAAAAUAAGAAUAGAGAGCAUGUUUAAAGAGGAGCAUUGGAGUUGGAAGAUUUUUCAAUGUAGAGCAUCUCCAAUAGUCUCUUAGUUGGCUCCUAUGUAUAAUAUAAAAUAUUAAGCUCCUAGUAAGUUAGUACAUUGUUAGGAGUUUGAACUCCAAUAAUGCUCUUUAUACUCACUCUUAACAUUAUAUUUUAUUAUUAUUUGAACUCCACUAUGAUAAAAGUACAAAGUCACAUGGGUGAUAGUGAAUAUUAUAUUACAAAAAACAAGUUAAGAGCCUUGUAGUGGCUCCUAAAAGAGAGGAGAGAGAAGGGCCUCUUAGUAUUUUUAAGAGCCAUUAAGAGCCUAUUGGAGCUCUAUUUUCUCUUAUCCUCUUUACUUUUGGUUUUAAGAGCCACUUUAAGAGGUUAUUGGAGAUGCUCUUAACUCACUAAGAGCCACAUAUUAUAUUAUAUUUUAAAAAGUGAUUUAAGAGCACCAUUGGAGAUGCUCUAACUUGAGAUUUGAGGAGGGAGAGAAAAAAUGUUGCUCCAAGAGACUCUUAAGUGGCUCUUAAAUCACUAAGAGCCUCUUGUUUCUCUCUCCUCUCUCCUCAAAGUUAAGAGCCACCACAUUAUUCCUAACUUAUUUUUUCACAAUAAAAAAAUCCUUCAUUCCACUUCACCUCCAUCUUUUCAUCUCUUUUGUUAUAGUGGAGCCCAAUAUAUGAAUAAAAUAUGAAAUAGAGAAGAGAUGUAGAGAGUAUUAUUGGAGCCACAUUUUUUAUAUUAUAUUUAGGACCCAACAAAGAAGCUCUUGGAGAUGCUCUAAUGCUCCACACCGUUUCCUUAAACUCCUUAGCUACAUUCCCAUGAUACGGAUCUGCCAUAUCCUUGGAAAACAUGGUAUUAGACAAAAGAUUAAGCGCGGUCUGAAAAGCAGCACGACCAAUAUCUACAGCCUCCCCACUUUCGCUACACUUAGUAAUGUAUCCAACAAGCUCCUGCACCUUGUUUGUUCGAAGAUGAUGAUUUGCAUCCAGCUUGCUAGUAGUAAAAAUAUAAGUGCUAAUAAUUUUUGUCAUCUGUAGCCUCAUUCUUAUCAGUGGUGUUUACAGGGCCGACUUUAGAGAUUUGGGUGCUCUAGACGAUUUUUGAAACUGAUGCUCCUAUUUUUUCAAGAUCAUAAAUGAAAAUUUUACUUACAUUCAAAUCAAUAUACAAUGACCAUACAAAAAAAAAAAGUUCAAUAUACAAUAAAAUCAUAUAAAUAUUGGUUUAAGAUUAACACAAUCAAUUCAAAUGCAUGUAAAUAUAUAAAUACAAAAAUUUAUCAUUAAAUACUACAUAUGCAUGAAUUUGUUGAUGUCCUAGGAUAGUGUGUCCAAGAUCCGUUGAGAGAUUUAAGAGUCAUCCAGAUAGUUCACAACCUUCGUGACAACAACCAUAAUCUGCAACGUACUUCCGAAAGCCAUAGUUAUUGCUCUCCAAACACUAACCAUAGAUUAGGACACUCUUGGGGGCAUGGCCCUGAUGUAGCUCUGUUGUAGACUGAUAUAUAAUACAGAACAUCAGAGCCCGUUUUGGUGUGUGGAAAAACUAAACCUUACUCCCAGAGGCGGAUCUUAGAAGGGGUAAGAGGGGGCAACUGACCCCCCUUAAUUUUUAUUUUUUUUAAUAUUAUACAUAUUUUUAGGUUGUAAAAUUGAAAUUGACCCCCUUAAUUUUUUUGUGACCCCUUUUAUUUUUUUUUACAAAAAAAUUGACCCCCCUUAACUUUAUAGUCAGAUCCGCCACUGCUUACUCCGUUAUUUAGAAACGCUAAUAAACUUACUGGUGUAGGAAAUGACAAAUAUGAGAAAGAAAAAUGCUCAUACUACAAGAUUAUUAUUAUAAUAAUUGUCCAAUAGUUAGAGAGCUGAAGUCAAGCUAUAUUUGUUUUUCAUAAAUUUGGUCACAAAAGAUGUGUCGUUUUUGUAUAAUUAAGAAGUAGUUAUUUGGUAGUUAUCUAUUCUGUUUUGAGAAUCGAAUCCAACCACAGUUUAUUGGGAGUAUGGAUAAACUGAAGGUUCUCAUUGUCACAAAUUAUGGGUCUUCCUUCUCUAAGCUAGACAACUUUUAUUGUCUUGGAAGUUUACCCAUUCUAAGGUGAAUCAGAUUAGAACGAUCGAGUUUCAUUAUCUUCCCUUAACACGUCCUCAAUCGAGUUGGUGAACCUGCAGAAGAUAACUUUUACAAUGUGUGAGAUCGGCGAGGCAUUUGAGAAUGGUACUAUAUAUGGACCUCCCUCGCAUCUUCCCUAAUCAUCUGGAACUUGAGAUUGACUGUUGUGAUGACUUGAUGAAAUUGCAUGCUGGAAUCUGUAAUGUUGUCAGUCUUAAGAAGAUCUGCAUCACUUACUGCAAUGAGCUAUCUUUGCUUCCAGAGGAGAUCGGCAGGCUCAGAAAUCUUGAAGUCUUGAGGCUCAAUUCUUGUACAAAGCUAUUAGAGUUGCCAGAGUCAAUUGGAAACCUCCAAAAAUUAACAGUUCUUGAUAUAUCUGAUUGCUUAAGCAUAAGUAAUUUGCCUAGAACAGUAGGUGAGUUGUGUGCUUUAAAAAAGUUCCACAUGAGAGGUUGCGAAGGAUUGUCAGACCUACAUAAGCUUCCCUCAUCUGUAAAAGAUCUGACGCUAUUAGAGAAGGUGAUAUGUGAUGAAGAAGCUAGUCAUCUAUGGAAAACAUAUCGAAGCCAUUUGAAAAAUCUGGUAGUCGAAGAGGUAAAAGAAGAUGCAUUUGAAAGCCUUAUGAGGGUCAUCUAACCAAUUCAGCAUUGUUGACACAGCAAAAGAAUGUUGUACAGCGUUUAGAUUUCUGAAAUCAGAACUUCUGAUUGUAUACUACUGGCAAGUGGCAACACUUGGGUUUUCAUUGUUAUUCAUAGAUAUGUGUAAAUUCUAUAGAGUGUAGUAACAUGUCAUUCAGAAAAUCUCCAGGUUUCCAGAUGCUAAUGUAUUUAAAGUUGGUUAAAGACACAUAUCCAUGUAAGCUUGAAAAGUACGUCAAUAAUUAGUUCUCUUGUGUUGGGACAGGAACUCAAUGUGGUGCAUGCAAUUGAAACUUUUGUUUUUGGUUGAGCUAUGAUUUGGUUUGUUAUUCACAUAAUUAUCCUGUUCUCUAUUUUGUCAGAAUUGGUUUUAUUAAGUUUGUAAGAAUGUAAGUGCAUUUGCUCAAUUUAGUGUCUUUGAUUCAAGUGUGAAAGUCCAUGCCUUCUCGAGCUUUUAGCAUAAACGUUCCGUGACCAAGCCGCUUAAGAGGGAGUGAGGGACAGUCCGAGAAAGAAAUUAUAACAUCCAGUCCACAACCAUAUGUAUAUAUAUCCGUUUAUUGACUCGUAGUAUCUAUUAAUGGUUUAAAGCUAUCCCUUAUUGUAGAUUCGAAGUCCGAAUUCACACACAAACUUCUAGAAUCUGGUGUCUCUGCACUUCCAGCUGGACCAAAUUCUCAUACUCUCUCCGUCUCAAUUUAUAGGUCCCUUUUGGACAAAAAAUUUGUCCCACAAUACUUGUCCCUCUCUUUUUUCAAUACAAAUUUAUUUCUAUAUUAAUUAUAAAUUUUUUGAAACUCAACAUUAUUCUCAUUUCUCAAUGCACUAAAUCUCUAUAUUUAUUGUGAUUUUUUUGAAACUCAAUUAUAUUCUCCCUUAUCAAUGUACUAAUUAAUGAUAUAUGAGAUAAAAUUAUAUCUAAUCAACUACUUUUUUCUUAAUAUGCGUGUUUAUUCCAAAAAGGACCUAUAAAUUGAGACGGGGAGUACCAUUUAUAAUAUACAAGCCAAGCUCACAAUUAGAUACGUACAGGGUCCCGACAAACCAACAAACCAUCACAAGUCGAUCUAAAAUUAAUCAGAGGUUUGCCCAAAAUUUUAGUAAAUUCUACAUCCGUUAUUAACUUGUAUCUAUACAAACUUCUUAUUCUAAACGGUGUCCAUGUUACAGAAAUGCUCACAAAUGUUUAUUAUGAAAGACGCUAGAGGACUAACUUCGCAGAAAGCCAUUCCUUUUAUUACAUCGUAUCUGACUGUACCCCCUUGAAAUGUAUUGGCAUUUUUAGUUUGUAUAGUAUUUUUUUUCCUUCUCAGUUUGAUAACUCAAAUUUAUGAGUAAAAUUGGAUGUGAUAUGAUAUAGAUGGUACAUUACAUCUGACAUGUUUUAAAUUUGAAAACAGAUUUACGUGUUCAACUUCGCUGUAAUGAACCCAUAAGUGAAGAAUUCCCUUCAGCCAAAUUCAUAUGUGAUGUAUGAAUCACAAUAAUAGUUGCCAGCAGUGUGAUCGCCAAUGUGCUCUACUUUGCAAAACAUUUCAAAAUUCUUCAAAGGUGAUGUUGAAGAUUGCGUGUUUGGUAAAGUUUUCCAUAAAAUUCAACGCCGAUGUCUUGUACAUACAAGUUACUCCCUCCGUCGUUUUCCUAGAUCUUUUGGUUGUCACUUUUUAACGUAAUUUAAUGUGAUUAAAAGGUAUAUUUUCAUAUUUUUUUUAAAUUAAAAUUUAUAGUUUAUAUUUUAUUCAUAAAAAUAUUUUAAGAAUAAUAAAUAAAAAUAUAUUUUUAAUUAUUUUAAAUUACAUGUAAAAUGUUAGAAUGACAGGUGAAAAAGAACUUAUAAUAUAUAAAAGUCAUGCCGACUAGCCAUAACAAAGUCCUUCUUCACAUUGACAUUUAUCUCAACUCCAAGAAGCCUGCCAGGAUUUCUUCUUCACCGACCUUGAAAUUUUUGAUGAGCUCGUUUAUUAUGUUUGUUGCUUUCGACAACAUAAAUUUUCCAUAGAUUUCACCGUAAAUGUAAUAUCUUAAAGUAAAAUUCUGGAUAAAAUCAUUAUUGCGUUUGGUAUUUUCGUCAAACCAUNAAAUUAGAUAUUAAAAUUAUAAGAUAUAAUAUAUAUAUAUAUAUAUAUAUAUAUAUAUAUAUAUAUAUAUAUAUAUAUAUAUAUAUUUUCAUAUCAUAAACAUAUCUUAGUUUAAAUAUUAUUGCACAAAGUAAAUUCAUAUAUUUAAUUAGCUAAUAAUAUACCCUCAGUGUUUGAUUCAGCUUCUUUUCUCAUGUAUUCACUUAUUCCACCCAUUUGUUUAUAUAUACCGGACACCAAAACUAAUAAAAUUAUAUAUAUAUAUAUAUAUAUAUAUAUAUAUAUAAUAUAUAUAGUUAAGUUCUAUGGAGUACAAAAAAAAUUGGAGUAUUGGAGUACAAAGUUUGAUAAAAUGUAAUCUAGUCAUCUAAAUUUCAAUUUUUUUUGUCCAAUAAUAUUUGUAAAUAUUUGACAACCUGCACAUUAUGUUCUGCAACAUAAACAUCGUGAUCAAAUGGUAGAAUAAUUACUUUUAUAAAUCAUAGGACUCUAUGUUCUGCAAUAUAACUAAUAAGCAGAACAAUAAUCUUAAUACUUGUUAAAGUUGAAAGAUAUUAAUGAUUAAUUGACAAUUAUGUGCAAGACAACUUAUAAAUGAUAGAUUAUAUCAAAAUUUGGAUAAUCAAAGAUAUUAUAUAGGAUCAAACUAAAAAAUUAUGAUUUGUACUCCAAUACUCCAAUGUUUUUAUGUACUCCAUAGAACUUAACUCAUAUAUAUAUAUAUUAUAGAUUUAGUUAAUUUUAACCUAUCUUUCUCUUUGUUUUUUUUACUUUUUUAUCCUAUUCAAUUGUUUAUAUUUAUGCACGACGAUUCGUAAAAUUUUACAAAAUAGCAUAAAAUCGAAAGAAAAGUUUAUUAAUGAAAUGUUUAUCUGAUAGAUUAAAAAAAAUGAAACAAAACAGUGGAUGAGAUUAAUUUUUUUUUUUUUUUUUGCUAGUUGAUGAGAUUAAUUUUUGUAUUAUAUUCUUUCCAUCUUUUAUAUGAAACCAUGACUAUUAAAACAUACUUUCAAGUGAUUUAAUUGCAUAAUUAUUUUUUUUACAAAUGUUUUUGUGUAUAAAGAUACAUAAUAAAAAAUUUAAUUAAAAAAAGUCAAAAUUUAUUAUUUUUAUUAAUCAUUCAAAGCACUUAAUAAGUGUAAAAACGGAGAGAAUAAAAGCUAAUAUUUUAGUCAAAUGUUAAGAAUUUAACAGAAAAUUAAGAAAAAAAAUGUAAAGAAUUUCGAGACAACAAGUAUUAUUCUAAUUGUCCAAUACUAAGAGAGUUGAAGUCAAGCUAUAUUUAUUUUUCUUAAAUUAGCCUUGUGUAAUUAAGAAGUAGUUAUAUGUUAAUUAUAUAUUUUGUUUUGAGAGUCGACUCUCGCAAUUAGACUUUUAGUUCUCAUUUUUUUGAAUUUUCAUCCUCUCAUCAAUUAAGCCUUCUUCCCCGUAUCAUCAUUUUUCUAUUUAUCAGCUUUUCAAUAAAACUAAAAUCUAUUUUUUUAUUUUUUUUGGUGAGAUCUUAUUAAAUACCUUGUUAUCAAGGUUGUAGUGGUCCCAUAUUUUUGAGAAGUUAGUAUGCUAUGUUUUGAAAUUUUGUUUAUCGUUUAUGAAUUUUUCUGAAAAGGAUUUAUAAGAUUUUUUCGGUGAUUUAUAAUACUCGUAUUGAUUCUAGGUAGGUGAUGAAUAUGGCAAGAGCACAUUUUUUGCAACAAAAAUGUAUGGGGGUCAUAUAGUCACUUUUAAUUGUCAUAGUAUUUUCAUAAAUAUUCUUAAAAGUUAUAAAAUUACAAAAAAGUUAAAAAAACAUAGUAUUUGAUAAGCUCCUUUAUAAUAUCAAUUUUGUUAACAUAUAUAAAUUUUAAUUUAAUUCCUAAUUUAAAAGUUAAAUUAUUAUUUCUUAUAUCUCCCCUUUCUUUUCCCCGAAAACUUUAAUUAUGUAAUAUAUCUAAAAGCAAUAACAAACAAACUGAGAUAGACAUCUUUGUUUCAAAUAUGCAUUAUUGGUACUUUAAUUUUUUUUUUUAGAAAAUCAAUAUUUUGAGUGUAUAAAAUUUCAAAAGGAUUAGAUUUACUUUUUAUAAUAUAUCCUCUUUAUGUGACAAAUUUGUUUUAUUUAUAUAGACAGAUGUGCUUUGUCUGUUUUCUUAAAACAGGGCAAGGAAAUAUUACAUCCACGUAAAAAAUUUCUUAAAAUUUAGUCAAAUUUAUCCAUAAAUAUACAUAACUCCAAGGUCAAUAACCGUUGUGAAAGUACGACACUAUACUGGUUUAAUGGAGAGUAUAUCACAUGCAACCUGAAGUCUAAACGAUCUCAAUCGCUUGGGUCACAUAAUUAUCACAAAAGUCAAAAAUCAUGAAUCAUCUUUACAACAUUGGGAUCCGCUGUACAUCUAAAGAACAUACUUUUACUCGUAUUACUUAAAAAAGUUAUUUUUCACUUAUAAAUAAAAUUUCACUAAUUAUAAGAAAUAAACUCUUGUUUUAAAUUAAACUAAACUAAACGACUCCUUAGAUAAAUUUAUAGACAGUUUUUAUACUUUUAUAGAAUGCAAUGAAAUGCAGGUUGAACAAAAUGUUUAUAUUAAAUGUUAAUUAGAUUAAAUAUAACGAGUUUAUGAGUUUUUGAAAUUAAGUUCUAAUUACAUUCAUAUUUAGGUUUAAAAAAGUAGUAUAGAUGUUAAUCUUUAAAUUAUACUGUGUUAAUUAUCUAAUCAAAGUAUCUCUUUUGAUUAGAAUUUAAUUUAUUAAAUUAGUGUAGGUUAAUUAAUGUUCUUACACUUUUUUGUUAAUAUUCCAGGAUAUUAUUAGUUCUACUCUCAUAUGUAAAUAUUUUAUUAUCAAAAUGUUCAAAAAUACUUUUUAAUGUGAAUCCGUUAUAUGAUAUUCAUCUUGAACGAAAAACCUCUUUCUUUAUAAAUAAUUGAUUCACGUGAAAAUGAUUAAAUGAUCAAAGAAAGACGGAAGAUUUGCCGACCAAAGAAACCGAGACGUGUAAAUUGUAGUAACGUUGUUUGACUUUAUCUUACGCAUUCUUCUGUCGAUUCCAGAAACAGAAAGGUCAAUUAUUGGCGGGGCACUAGUCACAUUUGUAUGAUAGUGUCACUAUUCGAUAAGCUUCAUUUAGAAAUUACAAAAUCUGCCGACUCCUUGCUCUGCAAUUGGGGUCCCUUCGUGGUUUCCCCUCAAACUUCCAAAAUGCAUUCACAAUUAUAAUUUAUGUACGUUAACACCUUCAAACUCAAAAUAAGUAUAUUAAUUAAAUUUAUUUCAAAAAAAAAAGAAAAAAAGUAUAUUAAUUAAAUAAUACUUCUUUAAUUGAUUAAUUUUGUUAUAAAAAAUAAUAACUUAUAAAACAUGUAUUGGUGAUUUAUAAUAGUAUAUAUAUACUCCUUACGUUUGGUUUGGGAAUGGAGAUUAAGAAAUAAGUGUAAAGUAGUGGAAAAGAGAAAGAAAAAUGUAUGAUGUGGUGAGAGCUAUUGAUUUUUAAUGUAUAAAAGAGAGAUAGGGGAGUAAAAGUGAUGUAAAAAUGGAGGAAAAAUGAGUAAGUGAUGGAACCCAUUGAUUAUUUUUGGUAAGGUUUGAAAUGUAUGGGACAUCCUAAAAAGGAAACGGUAAAGAAAUGAUUAGCACAUGAGGGAGUAUAUUUUUUUAUUAAAUAUAUUGAAUAUUUAUUUUUAUUUUGAAGAUAAAAUUAUGUUCAAGUAAUAUGAAUCUUUAAGUUUCUUUUUUUUGAAGUAAUAAAUCUUUAAGUUAAGAUAGUUUUUUAAUAAAUAAUAAAUGUGUGGUUAAUAUUUUUAUAUAUGUUAAACAAAUAUUUUCAUGUAACAUAUUAAGUAAAUUCUUAAUAUUUUUUUUUUGAUAAAAAAGAAUCAAUUCAUUAAUCAAAAGCCAUAGACAAUCUACAAAUAUAAUCAAAAUUGGACAAACGCUAAAUUAUAUCACUGUUGAAAUUUUCUUUGUUGGAGAGAUAACUAGCUUUGAAAAUGAUUUAAAAUAUAUGUACUUUUUUCACCCAAUUGAUUUUCACUCGACUAUUCUCAAUAAUCAACCAUAAAUACGAUUUCAUAAUAACCUUCGAAUCUAAAUAAACUCAUGAAAAUCAUGCUGAUAUAUAACCUUGGUAGGGAGAACAUCGAAACACACCAAACCGAAAAUCAACAUAAAAUUCAAAUAAAUUGAGAACUCAUUGAAAGGUAACCAAGAUUUCAAACAAGAAAACGGAAAAAAAAAAUUGAGACGGGCGAAAACCGAUGGAAGUCCCUUCAAAUUUUUUUAAUGGAAGCUAGGGUUUGAGGGAGUGAGAGUUGGGAAUGAUACGAAGGAAGUUAGUAUAUAAAUUCUUAAUAUUUAAACCCGUUAAGAAGAUUGAUCCUAAGAAAUAUGAUAACUGGGAACAUUUCUAUGAGUUCUAAUAAUAAUGAUUAUUAAACAGAUUCAAUUAAACAUGUUACAAAUUGAAUAGGUUCGUAUAUAUAUCCAUGUACCCUAAUAAAUUCAGCUAAAUCUGUAGUAGUUGUUUUUGUGUAAUUCUAGUUCAUAAAAUUACUGGGCAGAUUGGUUACAGCUUACUUUGUCUGUGGUCAGUAAUGAAUACAUGCCCUGCUUUAGUAACGUAAUUUUGCGAUUAAUAUUGUGUUAAUAGAUCAGCUCUUCUUUUAAGAGUUGUGUUAAUAGAGCAUAUUAAUGAUUAUAGUAUUUGUCAACCAGCACUCAAUUCCAACUGAGAAAAUAACUCUGUGACAGCUUAAGAAGUUGAAAAUAAUUCAAAUACAUAGCUCCAACUUUAAACAACAGUAAAACAUAUAGUCAUAGAGUGCAAGUGUGCACGAACAUGCAGACAUUAUUAACUAAGGAACAACAGGAGUUGCUACAGCACGAAGCGGGUGAAGCUUGGCCAGAGUGAUCCCAAACUUAUCCUCCAUGUCCAAAUCUCCUGGUGCAAUCCCACCUUCAAGUUUCCAGUCAAAACAAUUUAUGAGGGAUCCCACCAUCAUGGGCACCAUUCUCAUAGCCAGGGGCAAUCCAGGACAUUUCCUGCGACCCGCGCCAAAGGGAAUCAGCUCGAGAUCAUGCCCAUACACAUCAACUUUGGAGUCCAUGAAUCUCUCUGGCUGGAAUGACAGUGGAUUUUCCCAUAGCGUGGGAUCGCGUCCGAAAGCCCAUACAUUCACCAGCACUUGAGAAUUCUUGGGAAUUAUAUAGCCACUUAAUUCAACAUCUUCUGUCACUUGGCGUGGUAGUAAGAAGGGAACUGGUGGGUGCAACCUUGCACUCUCUUUCACAAUGCAUUGCAAAUAAGUCAACUUAGAAAUGUCUGCUUCUUCUACCAUCUUGCCUUUUCCGAUCACUUGAUUCAGCUCAGCUUUCGCCUUGGCCAAUACCGUUUCUGGUUUUCUUAAGACCUCAGCCAUCGCCCAUUCCACUGUACCUGAAGUCGUAUCUGUUCCUGCAAUGAACAAAUCCUGCCCAAGUAUAUAAUUGUUAGAAUACUGAUAAGUACUCCUCCUAGCACUUUCAGAUUUUCGAAGAAUCGAUUACAUAACAUGGUAUCAGAGCUCUCUUAUAUACUCCCUCCGUCCCAGCCAAUUGUAGCCAAUUGUUUACGUUCGGUUUGGGCACGGAGGUUAAGAAAUAUGUAAGUAGUAAAAAAGAGAAAGAAAAGUGGGUAAAAUAGUGGGACCUAUUAAUUUUUAAUGUAUGAAAGGGAGAUAGCGUUAAGAAAUAUGUAAGUAGUAAAAAAGAGAAAGAAAAGUGGGUAAAAUGGUGGGACCCAUUAAUUUUUAACGUAUAAAAGGGAGAUAGCGGAAUAAAAGUAGCGUGAAAACGGAGGAAAGAUUGGGACAUGAUUGGACCCAUAUUUUUGGUAAGUUUUGUAAUAUAAAGAACUGGAAAAGACAUCCCAAAAAGGAAACCGUAAAUAAUCUGGUGGGACGGAGGAGUAUACUAUAGAACAAAUCACUUAUAUACACAAGGAAAAAUUAUCUUACAGUGAGCAAGUGAUUGGCGUGUCGUUUCUCAAUUUCAUUUGUUCGCAACAAUUUUAACAGUUCGUCCAGCACAUCUGUACUAGUACUGUCCUCAGAGUCCCCCAACUUCUUUAGCUCCAAACGCUCAUUUACCAUACCAUCAAACAACUUGAUUACCUUUCCAAAACCAACACUUGAUCGUCCUCUGAUACCUUGAGGAUCGAAAGACCUAAGAAUAGGAAAAUAAUCCACAAAAUUAGGCGUACCUGCCUCCUUCAUAAUAUUCCACACCGUGUCCUUAAACUCCUUAGUGUCACUCCCAUGAUACGGAUCUGCCAUAUCCUUGGAAAACAUGGUAUUCGACAAAAGAUUAAGCGCAGUCUGAAACGCAGCACAACCAAUAUCUACAGCCUCCCCCCUUUCGCUACACUUAUUAACGUAACCAACAAGCUCCUGCACCUUGUUCAUUCGAAGAUGAUGACUUGCAUCCAGCUUGCUUGUAGUAAAAAUAUGAGAGCUCAUAAUUUUUCUUAGAUUCCUCCACUGACUUCCAACAGGCAACCAUGCAACCGAGGACUUGAAAUGGUCGCGAGCACGUAUAGCAUCGGGCAGGGGCCGAGUAGAGAAGGCCAGGUCUUGCUUUUGCAGGACUUCUCGAGCUGCAGUCGGUGAAGUGAUCACUAUGGUGGUUAUACGUCCCAGUCUUAGACUCAUGAUCGGGCCGUAAACCUUAGCCAGUUUGGCUAAGGAUUUAUGCGGUUGUUUGCCGAGGUGGUGUAUAUUUCCUAUUAGUGGCAAGGGGGAUGGUCCUGGUGGAAGCUUUUGAACAGCUUUCACAUGAUUUUUUCGUAGUAAGAAGAGUGAAAAGGCCAGCAGUAUGCACAGCAAACUGAUCAAAAAGAUCUCCAUAUGCGCUGGUUCUGGUUGAACCUUGACGAAGGGUUAAUAUACUGAUAAAAAUAGGAAGAUAUGGGUUGGGAACUUGGGAUGCUUAUGCAAUUGUGUUGGUCUCUGUUUCCAUUUAUACACAAACAUGGCCGACAGAAAAUAGAAAUGAAUGGCUCCAAUUAAAACAACCUAAAAUGUCAAUGUCCAGAAUACUGAUUAAAGAUUUUACGGCUCAAUUAUUUCUCAAAUACAUUUCGCAGGCAUAACAACCAUUUUUUAGUUAAGUAUCGGAUUUUUAUUGGUUUUAAUCUCAUUAAUAGUGAUGACGCUAUUUGUGAUAGCUGUCUUGACAUUAAUGUGAUUCCACCAAUUAAGUCCCGAUUAUCUAAUUGAUUGCUAAACGGUGAUUCAACCGAUUAAUCCUAAUUUAGGUUUUUUUACAAUACUGGUGUGGAUUUUUAUCAUCUCUAGCCUCCUCGUACAUGAAUUCUUAUCGUUUGUGUUUACAAGGCCGAAUCUAGAAAUUUGGGUGCUCUAAACCAUUUUUGAAACUGGUGCCCUUAUUUUUCAAGAUCGUAAAUGAAAAUUUUACAUACAUUUAAAUUCAAUAUACAAAGAAAUCAUAAAAACAUUGGUUUAGGAUUAACAUAAUCAAUUCAAAUGCAUGUAAAUAUAUAAAUACAUAAAUAUAUCAUUAUAUACUACAUAUGUAUAGAUUUUUUAAUGCCCUGAGAUAGUGAUGGUCAAGACGUUCGUCUUGGUAUGCCGACCAAGGGCCAUUCCUGUGUGUUUCUAGUGAGGGAUUUAAGAGUCAACCAGAUAGUUCACAACCUGGUUGGUGACCAAAGACCAUUCCUGGAUGUUUCUGUUGAGAGAUUUAAGAGUCAGCCAGAUAGUUCACAACCUUCGUAACAACCAUAAUCUGCAACGUACUUCUGAAAGCCAUGGCCAUUGCUCUCCAAACACUAACCAUAAAUUAGGACAAUCUUGGGGGCAUGGCCCUGAUAUAGCUCUGUUGUAGACUGAUAUAUAUAUAUAUAUAUUAAUACAGAACAUCACAGCCCGUUUUGGUGUGUAAAAAACUAAACCUCACUCCUUAAUUUGAAAACGCUAAUAAACUUAAGGUUUGUCUAGUAUGUGCCAUGAGACUGAAUUCUAUAAAUUUGGGACAUUUUGAUUGGUGUGUUUAUUGUAUUUGCAUGGGUUCCACAAAUAAUAAGAAAUAGGAGCCAAUUAAAAUGAGUAAAACUUGUAAUUUCUAGUGUUUAGCAUGUGCCAUGAGCACACUGGAAAAACCGAUAAACUUAUUGGUGUAGAAAAUGGCAAAUGAGAAAACAAUCAAAGUGACUGCAACCAAACUGUCUUGGACCAUUGUCAGAUCUAGAAGAUUGUGACAUGUAUAUUAUAUUAUUAAAUCCCAAAAUUUUUUGUCAGUAUUUGGGUAAAAUUAUGAGCUUAUUUAUAUAAUAAAAAACUAAUUUUUAUAUUUCCUAACUAAAAAAAAUUCAAAUUUUUAAUAAUAAUAUUGGACAACAUAGCAAUUAACUUUUUUAACAAAAUCAGAUUCCUAACUAAAAACUCGAUUUCUAAAAAUAACACAUGCAAUAUACAUUAAAAAAUGAAAUAUUAUUAUAUAUAAUUAUUAAUAUACAACUAAUGAUAUAUUUCAACUAAUGUUAUUUUUAAUUACUCCAUGUUAUCAAUUUAAUAUCAUGGAUCCAUACAAUCCAUUUAUACUAUCCUGUACAAUAAUAAUAAUAUUAUUAUUAUCAUCAUUAUUAUUUUUAUAUUAAAAAUGAAAUAUUAAUAAUUUAAUUGGUUAGUCGAAUUUUAUCUGCCGACUAGUAUUAUUCAUAUGGGUCUCCUUAAUAUAUAAUGUUUCCAAUAAAUCAUUUUAUUAUAAAUAAAGCCAAAAAUUUUAAAAAUUCGGUUAAUAUGAUCGAUUUGUAUGUCAAUUAAAUUUAAACUAUAGAAGACAAAUUUAUAGAUGUUAAAAAUCACUAUACGGGUUAUAAGCUGGUGAUGAUUAAAAAGCAAUUAUUAAAAGUAUAAUUUUUAAACAAUGAUAAACAUACAGUCUUAGAGUGGCAUGUAAAAAAAAGUAGUCGUCACGGAACAACAAGAGUUGCUAGAGCACGAAGGGGAUGAAGCUUGGCCAGAGUGAUCCCGAACUUAUCCUCCAUGUCCAACUCCCCUGCUGCAAUAUCACCUUCAAGUUCCCAGUCAAAACAAUUUAUGAGGGAUCCCACCAUGAUGGGCACCAUCCUCAUGGCCAGGGGCAAUCCAGGACAUUUCCUUCGACCCGCGCCAAAUGGAAUCAGCUCGAGAUCAUGCCCAUACACAUCAACUUUGGAGUCCGUGAAUCUCUCCGGCUGGAAUGACAGUGGAUUUUCCCAUAGGGCAGGAUCGCGCCCAAAAGACCAUACAUUCACCAGCACUUGCGAAUUUUUGGGAAUUAUAUAGCCACUUAAUUCAACAUCUUCUGUCACUUGGCGUGGUAGCAAGAAGGGAACCGGUGGGUGCAACCUUGCACUCUCUUUCACAAUGCAUUGCAAAUAAGUCAACUUAGAAAUGUCUGCUUCUUCUACUAUCUUGCCUUUUCCGAUCACUUGAUUCAGCUCAGCUUUCGCCCUGGCCAAUACUGUUUCCGAUUUCUUUAAUACCUCAGCCAUCGCCCAUUCCACUGUACUUGAAGUCGUCUCUGUUCCUGCAACGAACAAGUCCUGUCCAAGUAUAUAAUUUGUGACUUUAAUCAAUUCGGAUAUCAUGAUUUGUAUGAUUAUGACAAAAAAGCAAUUGACAAAAAUCCUUAUAUAUCCUAUAGAACAAAUCACUUAUUAUCUUACCGUGAACAAGUGAUUGGUGUGUCGUCUGUCAAUUUCAUUUGUUCGCAACAAUUUCAGCAGUUCGUCGAGCACAUCUAUACUAAGAUUGUCCUCAGAGUCCCCCAAUUUCUUCAGCUCCAAACGCUCAUUUACCAUACCAUCAAACAACUUGAUUAACUUUCGAAAAUGAACACUUGUUCGUCGUUUAAUACCUUGAGGAUCGAUAGACCUAAGAAUAGGAAAAUAAUCCGCAAAAUUAGGCUUACCGGACUCCAUCAUAAUGCUCCACACCGUGUCCUUAAACUCCCUAGCUACAUUCCCAUGAUACGGAUCUGCGAUAUCCUUGGAAAACAUGGUAUUAGACAAAAGAUUAAGCGCGGUCUGAAAUGCAGCACAACCAAUAUCUACAGCCUCCCCCCUUUCGCUACACUUACUAACGUAACCAACAAGCUCCUGCACCUUGUUCGUUCGAAGAUGAUGACUUGCAUCCAGCUUGCUAGUAGUAAAAAUAUACGAGCUCAUAAUUUUUCUUAGGCUCCUCCACUGAUUUCCAACAGGCAACCAUGUAACCGAGGACUUGAAAUGGUCGCAAGCACGUAUAGCAUCGGGUUGGGUCCGAGUAGAGAAGGCCAGGUCUUGCUUUUGGAGGACUUCUCGAGCUGCAGUCGGUGAAGAGAUGACUAUGGUGGUUAUGCGUCCCAGUCUUAGACUCAUGAUCGGACCGUAAACAUGAGCCAGGUUGGCUAGUGAUUUAUGCGGGUGUUUGCCGAGAUUGUGUAUAUUUCCUAUGAGUGGCAAUGGGGAGGGUCCUGGUGGAAGCUUUUGAACAGCUUUGACAUUGUUUCUUUGUAGUAAGAAGAGUGAAAAGGCCAGCACUAUGCAGAAAAAACUGAUAAAAAAGAUCUCCAUAUGCCCCGGAGAGGUGAAAAUAGUGAUGAAAAGGUAAAGAAGAUGAUGGUUUGGAUGCUUAUGCGAUUGUAGUAGUUUCUGUUUCUAAAUUACACCCCACACGACCGACUGCAAAAAUAGAAAUGUCAUUAAAUGAGUGGUUCUUGUUAAAACACCUAAAACGUCUAUCUCUAGAACUAGGGCUGUUCACGAACCGAGCCAAGCCGAGUUUUGACCGAACCGAGCCGAGCUUUAAUUUUUUUUCUGACGAGCCGAGCCGGGCCGAGCUUUUUUAUCGAACAAAAAUUGUGUUCAAGCUCGGCUCGUUAACUAACGAGCCGAACACGAGCUUGUUCGCGAACAAAUACAAGCCGAGCCGAGUCGAAUCGAGUCGAGCCGAGCCAGAAAAAAAAUAAGGACAAACCGCUAGUUGACUCUUAAAAUAGCUAACCAAAUAAUUUUAAUUUUUUUUAAACUUUGUUUAUAUCACUAAAAUGUAUAUAUGUUAACAUCCAUACGGUUAGAUCGGUAAGAAAUAUUUUUUAAAAUAUUGAAACACUAAAUUAGGAUUAAACACUAGUUAGCGGUACUAGUUAACCUUCUACUUGACUGUUAAAAUAGCAAACCAUAUAAAAUUAUUAUUUUCCGAAAUUUUGGUAACAUCACGAAAAUAUAUAUAUAUAUAUAUAUAUAUAUAUUAAUUAUAUGUUGAAUUCUGAGUUUAAUAACAUAUAUAAAUUAUAAAAAAAAACCCGAAAAUAUUACAUUUUUUCGAGUUUUAAUGAGCCGAGCUCGAGCCGAGCGAGCUCGAGCCGAACAUACUAAAAGCUCGGCUCGAGCUCGUUUACUUAACGAACAAUUUUUUGUGUUCGAGCUCGAGCUCGUUAACUUAACGAGCCGAGCCGAACGAGCUCUUAACGAGCCGAGCUCGAGCUUGUUCGCGAACAGCUCGGUUCGUUAAACAGCCCUAUCUAGAACACUGAUUAAGAUUCGACAGUUCAAUUAUUUCUCAGAAAGCUACAGUGGCCGCUGACCAAGGGGCUCGGAGCGGAGAUAUUGUUUCAACACGGCUACAGCGACAGGAUAGCAACUAGGCAGAAAAAUAAAAUCAGAGAAUAGAUUGUUUUGGAUACUACAAUGUCAGAGCCACGUGAAGCGAUAGAAUAAUGAGUUAAGGCUUCAAUGAGUAAGAUACCCGAAAAUGUCCCUUUACUGUGAGGGAAUUAAACAAAACUUUCGAUUUUGUCACCAGUAUAAAAAAGCUCCAACCCCAUGGAUAUAGACUUGGAUGAUAUAUAAAUAUAAGAGUUUAAUAACAAAUUCAUUGCUUAAUUUUUUAUCAGUUUUGAUUUGGUUAUAAGAUAAUUUUAAUUUUAAAUUAAUUAAACUAAAAAAAUAAAAACAGUCAUUUAAUUUAUAUGCUUAUAAAAAUAUAAAAAAAAAUUCGAUUUAUAUUAUUUCAAUAGUCAGAUUUGAAUCAAACAUAUAAAUUUUUAUAAAUAUCCAAUUUUUCCUUAAUAUUUAGGAUUUAUUAUAUUAAAAGUUGUAUUGAUUUAAUACAUAUGCUUUUAAAUCGUUAUAAGAAAAUGAAUAUAUGUAGACAACACAUUUUUUCUAUCCAAUUAUUUUAUAUUGAGAAAUUAUACUGAAAAUGUUUUUUUGCACAAGUUUAAUUCUUUUUGAAUGAUUACAUGUUUAUUAAUUUUAAAAUUUUGUACAGUCAGGUACUCAUGUCCUUAUGAAUCAAUAUAAGGAAAAUUAAAUUCGUGGAGAUAAAAAUUUGUAAAUUUUUGUGGUAUGAUUAUAAUUUAAUUAUUAAACUUUAAUAUAUUCAUUUAGUCACUUAAUCCAUAUGUGUUCAUGUUUGUAAACAAUGACGGGGACGGAAGGAGUAAUUGUAGUUUCAUAAGUUUCAAUACAAAAUAACAAUGAAUUAACGUAUAGAUUCUUAUCUAAAUUAGUUUGUUAACAAAAAAUUUCCAUAAAUUAGAAAAAAUAAAUACUCGCAAAUAAUAAGAUAAAUGAAUAAAUAAAGGGAAUUUACCCAUGCUACCACUAAUUCUAAGUUUUUUUUUUGCGAUUUUAUUGUCGUUUGAAAAUACUUGAAAAAAAUAAUUUUUUAAGAAGUAUUGGCGAAAAUAUGAUCAUUAAAUGCAACCAGAUGUCCUAAGCAUGGUUUCAUCUGGUUGCAAGUAUAGUUGCAUGUGGUUGCUUACCGUAUUUUUACCAAUAUUUUUCAAAGUUAGGUAUUUUUCAAAUAAAUAUAAUUGCAUGUGGGCCCGUACAAUAUUUUUGCAAAUAAUUUUAAAAAUUUUGAUAUUUUUGUAAAAUAUUUAAAAAAUAUAUAGCAUUUUUUCGAAAAAUGCUUUGGACUGACUGAGAUAUUUUAUUUAUGAGAAAAUCCCAUAGAUAAAUAAUAGACACGCGAGAUACAUUUUAUCAUUUAUAAAUAGUAGGUUUUGCAAGUGGUGGCCAUGCCGUCAUGAAUGAGAUCAGAAUUUAUUUUAGUUAAUUUUCUUAUUCAAUCCUCGAUUAGGUAGCCUUCUCAUACACGAAUUCAUAUCGCUGGUGCUUUCGUUGAGAGAUUUGAGAGUCAGCCAGAUAGUUUACAAUCUUCACCACAACAACCAUAAUCUGGAACAAACUUCCGAAAGCCAUAAUAGCUCUGUUGUAGAAUGAUAUAUAAAUACAAAGCAUCAAGCCUGUGUGAAAAUUGGAAAAACUAAACCUUACUCACUCCACUCCUUAAUUUAAAAACGCUAGAAACUUUUACUGGUGUAAAAGAUGACAAUUGACAACUGAAAACGCAAUUAACUGAUUGCAGCCAAACUAGAGUGGCAUGUAAAGGAAGAAAUUAGUAGUCAAGGAACAACAAGAGUUGCUAGAGCACGAAGGGGAUGAAGCUUGGCAAGAGUGAUCCCGAACUUAUUCUCCAUGUCCAACUCUCCUGGAGCAAUCCCACCUUCAAGUUCCCAGUCAAAACAAUUUAUGAGGGUGCCCACCAUGACGGGCACCAUCCUCAUGGCCAGGGGCAAUCCAGGACAUUUCCUUCGACCCGCGCCAAAUGGAAUCAACUCGUAAUCAUGCCCAUACAAAUCAACUUCAGAGUCCAUGAAUCUCUCUGGCUGGAUUGACAACGGAUUUUCCCACAGCAUGGGAUCGCGUCCUAUAGCCCAUGCAUUCACAAGGACUUGUGAAUUCUUAGGAAUGGUAUAGCCACAGAGUUCAACGUCUUCUUUCACUUGGCGUGGUAUUAAGAAGGGGGCCGCUGGGUGAAGCCUUGCAGUUUCUUUCACAAUGCAUUGCAAAUAAGUCAACUUAGAAAUGUCUGCUUCUUCUACUAUCUUGCCUUUUCCGAUCACUUGAUUCAGCUCAGCUUUCGCCCUGGCCAAUACUGUUUCCGAUUUCUUUAAUACCUCAGCCAUCGCCCAUUCCACUGUACUUGAAGUUGUAUCUGUUCCUGCCACGAAUAAAUCCUGCCCAAAAUUUCCGGAUAUUAGUAAGAUAUGAGAAGCAUACAUACUACAGAGGUGCAAAUAUUGUGUGUUGCAUAGAGGUGCUAAAAAAUAAGACCAAAAACAAUUAGGAAUUAUUAAGAAGAUUAACUUACCAAGAACAAGUGGUUGCUGAGAGUUAUAUCAAUCUCAUUCGUCUGUACCAAUUUCAGCAGUUCGUCGAGCACGUCUGUACUAGAAUUGUCAUCAGAGUUCCCCAGUCUCUUCAACUCCAAGCGUUCACUUACCAUACCAUCAAAUAACUCGAGUAGCUUCCCAAAGUGCACAAUCAUUCGUCGUCUAAUACCUUGGGGAUCGAAAGACCUAAGAAAAGGAAAAUAAUCCACUAAAUUAGGCGUGUCUGCCUCGAGCAUAAUGUUCCCCACCAAGUCCUUGAACUCCUUAGCCUCGGUGUUAUGAUACGGAUCUGCAAUAUCCUUGGAAAAAAUCGUAUUUGACAAAAGAUUAAGCGAGGUCUGAAAAGCAACACGCCCAAUAUCCACAGCCUCCCCACUUCUCCCACACUUAUCAACGUAUCCAACAAGCUCCUGCACCUUGUUAGAUCGAAGAUGAUGAUUAGCAUCGAGCUUGCUAGUUGUAAAUAUAUAAGAGCUCAAAAUUUUUCUUAGGUCUCUCCACUGUUUUCCAACAGGCAACGAUACUACCGAGGACUCGGAGUGGUGGCAUGCACGUACAGCGUCGAGCCCGAGCCUAUUAGAGAAGGCCAGGUCUUGCUUUUGAAGGACUUCUUGAGCUGCGGUCGAUGAAGAGAUGACUAUGGUGGUUAUACGUCCCAGUUUUAGACUCAUGACCGGGCCGUGAAGCUGAACCAGGUUGGCUAAGGAUUUAUGCGGGUGUUUGCCGAGUUUGUGUAUAUUUCCUAU